ACGUACACUCCUACGGGAGGCAGCAGUGGGGAAUAUUGGACAAUGGGCGCAAGCCUGAUCCAGCCAUGCCGCGUGAGUGAUGAAGGCCCUAGGGUUGUAAAGCUCUUUCACCGGUGAAGAUAAUGACGGUAACCGGAGAAGAAGCCCCGGCUAACUUCGUGCCAGCAGCCGCGGUAAUACGAAGGGGGCUAGCGUUGUUCGGAUUUACUGGGCGUAAAGCGCACGUAGGCGGACUAUUAAGUCAGGGGUGAAAUCCCGGGGCUCAACCCCGGAACUGCCUUUGAUACUGGUAGUCUUGAGUUCGAGAGAGGUGAGUGGAAUUCCGAGUAUAGAGGUGAAAUUCGUAGAUAUUCGGAGGAACACCAGUGGCGAAGGCGGCUCACUGGCUCGAUACUGACGCUGAGGUGCGAAAGCGUGGGGAGCAAACAGGAUUAGAAACCCUAGUAGUCCCAUGA
Molecule: ribosomal RNA, 455 nt
Filed under: uncultured organism
Description: partial 16S ribosomal RNA
Rfam family: Bacterial small subunit ribosomal RNA
Source: RNAcentral